GACGAACGCUGGCGGCGUGCCUAACACAUGCAAGUCGAGCGGAGCGGCGGACGGGUGAGUAAUGCCUAGGAAUCUGCCUGGUAGUGGGGGAUAACGUCCGGAAACGGGCGCUAAUACCGCAUACUAUCAGAUGAGCCUAGGUCGGAUUAGCUAGUUGGUGGGGUAAAGGCCUACCAAGGCGACGAUCCGUAACUGGUCUGAGAGGAUGAUCAGUCACACUGGAACUGAGACACGGUCCAGACUCCUACGGGAGGCAGCAGUAGGGAAUCUUCGGCAAUGGACGAAAGUCUGACCGAGCAACGCCGCGUGAGUGAAGAAGGCCUUCGGGUUGUAAAGCACUUUUGGCAGGAAAGCGGUACCUGCAGAAUAAGCACCGGCUAACUACGUGCCAGCCGCCGCGGUAAUAC
Molecule: ribosomal RNA, 407 nt
Filed under: uncultured bacterium
Lineage: Bacteria
Description: partial 16S ribosomal RNA
Rfam family: Bacterial small subunit ribosomal RNA
Source: RNAcentral